Long non-coding RNA from Uranotaenia lowii, 559 nucleotides. RefSeq lists it as uncharacterized. The transcript has 3 exons. The record is from RefSeq and is a predicted model, not a curated record. NCBI's taxonomy places the organism in Eukaryota, Metazoa, Arthropoda, Insecta, Diptera, Culicidae.
AGAUAAAAAAAAUACAUCUUCGAUUCAAAAACCACGUGUACAUUGAAACAAAAUCCAUUUCCCUUGAUUCAAGUAAAUUUUAUAUUGAACCGAAAUUUUUUUCCAUUAAACCAAUGUUCCAAAUUUUUGGAUCAAAGUAUUUAAUUUGAGUUUAAAGAAUUUUUUUUUUGACUCAGAAUCAAUGUGAAAAUUCAUUGAUUUAGAUGAAUUUUCUUUUGAAUCAAAGUAUUUUUUCGUCAAACAGUCGACAUCUUCAGUAGCUUCUUUUUGGUGAACGGGACGGCAAGAAGGUUUGCCGCGCAACAGCCAGACAGCACCGGAAACACAAGAUCCGGCGUAGGAAAGUCUUGGCAGCUUUAAGAGGGCAGACGAUAGUGACUCCUAGGGCAACCAUUCAUCCAACUAAUUCCUUCCGAUCCGGUCCAAGGAGAAAUCUGGCGCCGAAACCCUUCAUGAGUUGUUCGAAAGGAACUGUCGCCAACAAACAUCGUUCAAUGUACCGGUUCAAAACUUAAAUCAUAGGGAAAAUCGAUAAUGUGAAUGUGAUAAUGUAAUCUAA